Molecule: ribosomal RNA, 468 nt
Filed under: uncultured bacterium
Lineage: Bacteria
Description: partial 16S ribosomal RNA
Rfam family: Bacterial small subunit ribosomal RNA
Source: RNAcentral
AACGAACGCUGGCGACGUGCUUAACACAUGCAAGUCGAACGGAAAGGCCCUGCUUAUGUGGGGUGCUCGAGGGGCGAACGGGUGAGUUACACGUGGGUAACCUGCCCUUGACUUUGGUAUAACUUCAUGAAACUUGGGCUAAUACCGGCUAGGAGCUACUGCUGCAUGGUGGGGGUUGGAAAGUUUCGGCGGUUGGGGAUGGACUCGCGGCUUAUCAGAUUGUUGGUUGGGUAGUGUCUUACCAAGGCUUUGAGGGGUAGCCGUCCUGAGCGGGGCAGCGGCCACACUGCGACUGAGAUACGGCACAGCCUCCAAUGGGACGCAGCAGUGGGGAAGAGUGCACAAUGGGAGGAGGCCUGAUGCAGCAACGCCGCGUGGGGGAUGACGGCAAUGCGGUUGUAAACCGAUUUCGCCUGAGACGAAGCGUGAGUGACGGUAAUGGGUGAAGAAGCACCGGCUAACUACGUG